This 491-nucleotide ribosomal RNA is filed under the name uncultured bacterium. RNAcentral's name for it is "partial 16S ribosomal RNA". It matches the Rfam family "Bacterial small subunit ribosomal RNA", at positions 29 to 507 of the family's 1533-position model. The record is from RNAcentral.
AGUGAACGCUGGCGGUAGGCCUAACACAUGCAAGUCGAACGGCAGCACAGUAAGAGCUUGCUCUUACGGGUGGCGAGUGGCGGACGGGUGAGGAAUACAUCGGAAUCUACUUUUUCGUGGGGGAUAACGUAGGGAAACUUACGCUAAUACCGCAUACGACCUACGGGUGAAAGCAGGGGAUCUUCGGACCUUGCGCGAUUGAAUGAGCCGAUGUCGGAUUAGCUAGUUGGCGGGGUAAUGCCCACCAAGGCGACGAUCCGUAGCUGGUCUGAGAGGAUGAUCAGCCACACGGGAACUGAGACACGGUCCAGACUCCUACGGGAGGCAGCAGUGGGGAAUAUUGGACAAAGGGCGCAAGCCUGAUCCAGCCAUACCGCGUGGGUGAAGAAGGCCUUCGGGUUGUAAAGCCCUUUUGUUGGGAAAGAAAAGCAGCAGGUUAAUACCCCGCUGUUCUGACGGUACCCAAAGAAUAAGCACCGGCUAACUUCGUG